UUUGUUUGAAUGUUAAAUGUUAUUUAUUUACAUUUUGCGAUAAAAUCCGUGUAGUCAAACUCCGCUUGCACUCUUCGGUAAACAUCUCUGUAGUAUUCACCACGGUAACUCAACCUGUUUUGGACCGAUUGCGUUAAGACCCGGAGAGAGACUCUUGAGAGAGAUGAGCCGAUAUUGAACUACCUCAGUGAGAGAACACCACAGCUAGACCCGAGAACACAGUGGCUAAAAAGGGAUGGGGAGUUCGCUACUUCUGUCGCACGCAGUUACCCAGAGAGCAUCUCAAGGAAUGACGUAAUUCCGGUCAAACCGCUUGAGCGUCCGUUGCGACCUUCCCUAUUCUGAGGACUCCAGGGCUCGUUCACUUUGUCCCCAGCUAUCAACGAGAGUGGAAGUGCGCGUUUUGUACCGCGAGUUUUUUGGCUUUUUGUACAAAAUUUUCCCGUAUAGUUAUUUUGUGUGUGCGCUAGCUAAAGUAAUUUGUCGUGUGCGAACAGGAGCUAGAAGGAGAAAAGGAGUUCGCCCGUUAGCAACAGCGCUAACCAUCCCGCAGCAGCACCAGUCCAGCAGCAGCGCGAACACACGAGCAGCAGAGCAGAGGAAAACGGAGACGAAGUUCCCCGCGCACCGUACUUCUCGUUGUCGCCGCACGUCACCAGGCGAAGCACGAGGACGAAGAGCGUGAGCGCACGCUAGGCGGCGAUCCGUCACCACAUCGCCCGGUGAAGUAGGGAGGGUCCCUGAACCACCACACGAGGACAGCGGAGAACGUUAGUCCCGGCCGGAGUCAACCCUAAGGCCGGAGCUUCCUGUCCGGUUGCGAGCACCUGACAGCCGCGGAACCGGGAAAAGUCCAGAACCGGCCCGAGCCACCCCGUAAGGCCGAGUCCCGCAUUCCGGUCAGCUGUUCAUCAGCUGACGGCCACGUGUCGUCCCUGAGCUGAGCAACCAGCCCAAGUAGCAGAGAACAACAGCAGCAACAAGAUCAUCAUUCGGUGAGUCCGUUCUAUUUGCACUUGUGGGAAGAAGCACGUCCCUAGCUGACGUAGCGAAGUUUUUGCCGGCCUAGUGCCGAGGCGGCAGACGCGAAUCCGCCGUUGACGGACGCGUCCAAAGUUUGAGGAGCGAACU
Molecule: long non-coding RNA, 1131 nt
Organism: Culex pipiens pallens (northern house mosquito)
Lineage: Eukaryota; Metazoa; Arthropoda; Insecta; Diptera; Culicidae
Exons: 3
Source: RefSeq, a predicted model, not a curated record